GAUGAACGCUAGCGAUAGGCCUAACACAUGCAAGUCGAGGGGCAUCACAUGAAGUAGCAAUACGGAUGGUGGCGACCGGCGCACGGGUGAGUAACACGUAUGCAACCUGCCUUCAACAAGGGGAUAACCCGUUGAAAGACGGACUAAUACCCUAUAACACAGGGGUCCCGCAUGGGAAUAUUUGUUAAAGGACAACCGGUUGAAGAUGGGCAUGCGUUCCAUUAGCUAGUUGGCGGGGUAACGGCCCACCAAGGCAACGAUGGAUAGGGGAACUGAGAGGUUUAUCCCCCACACUGGUACUGAGACACGGACCAGACUCCUACGGGAGGCAGCAGUGAGGAAUAUUGGUCAAUGGACGCAAGUCUGAACCAGCCACGUCGCGUGAAGGAAGACGGCCCUACGGGUUGUAAACUUCUUUUAUACGGGAAUAAAGUGCCCCACGCGUGGGGUUUUGCAAGUACCUUGCGAAUAAGGAUCGGC
This 480-nucleotide ribosomal RNA is filed under the name uncultured bacterium. RNAcentral describes it as "bacterial SSU rRNA". It matches the Rfam family "Bacterial small subunit ribosomal RNA", at positions 28 to 497 of the family's 1533-position model. The record is from RNAcentral.